GUUGAGUUCUGCAGGUAUCCAUGGAUAUUAGAAUAUUUAAAUUUUCUCUGUAUUCUAGAUUGUGAUUAUGAGGUUUUUAUAACAAUCUCAUUCUUUUGAAUAAGGGAGCAAUGACUUAAACCUCUUCUUCCUCUUUUCCAAACAGAGUGAAGUUGUUAUGUUUAAUUAUUCAUUUUAUUUCUUAUCUAUUUCUCUUCUCCAUCUUAAUUAAUCAUAUUGUAUGCAUAUUAUUUCAAUCAUGAGAACAUAUUUCUGAGCAACCAGUUUCAGAGUUUGUGGAGAUAGAUUAAUAGAACAAGUGCUUCCUCUUGGAUAAUGAAAAGCUACCAAGUGAAUACUUUAAAGAAAAUGUCAUGCAGCUGAUCAGAGCAUUAUCAUAUGGCACCCUUCUACCUGUCAUGGACAACUAUAACAGUUCCAGGGCUAGGACCCAAACCUGCUAAGACUUUUUAAAUGUGAAGAAAGCAUCUCUUCCCUUCCCACUUCUUUUGGAAUUGGCAAAUAAAAUGCUUUCAGAAAAUCUGGAGGACUUCUGG
This 536-nucleotide long non-coding RNA is filed under the name Monodelphis domestica (gray short-tailed opossum). RNAcentral's name for it is "lncRNA (ENSMODG00000032071.2)". The record is from RNAcentral. Lineage: Eukaryota; Metazoa; Chordata; Mammalia; Didelphimorphia; Didelphidae.